This 402-nucleotide ribosomal RNA is filed under the name uncultured bacterium. Its description in RNAcentral is "bacterial SSU rRNA". It matches the Rfam family "Bacterial small subunit ribosomal RNA", at positions 358 to 776 of the family's 1533-position model. The record is from RNAcentral.
GGAAUCUUCCACAAUGGGCGAAAGCCUGAUGGAGCGACGCCGCGUGAGGGAUGAAGGCUUUAGGGUCGUAAACCUCUUUUCUCAGGGAAGAGCAAGGACGGUACCUGAGGAAUAAGUGACGGCUAACUACGUGCCAGCAGCCGCGGUAAUACGGAGGGGGCUAGCGUUGUUCGGAAUUACUGGGCGUAAAGCGCGCGUAGGCGGUCCGCGUAGUCAGGCGUGAAAGCCCCGGGCUCAACCUGGGAACUGCGUUUGAUACUGGCGGGCUAGAGCCCGGGAGAGGGUAGUGGAAUUCCCAGUGUAGAGGUGAAAUUCGUAGAUAUUGGGAAGAACACCAGUGGCGAAGGCGGCUACCUGGACCGGUACUGACGCUGAGGUGCGAAAGCGUGGGGAGCAAACAGG